RNAcentral lists this ribosomal RNA (444 nucleotides) under uncultured bacterium. Its description in RNAcentral is "SSU rRNA". It matches the Rfam family "Bacterial small subunit ribosomal RNA", at positions 26 to 518 of the family's 1533-position model. The record is from RNAcentral.
AGAGCGAACGCUGGCGGCAGGCCUAAUACAUGCAAGUCGAACGAACCCUUCGGGGUUAGUGGCGGACGGGUGAGUAACACGUGGGAACGUGCCCUUUGGUUCGGAACAACUCAGGGAAACUUGAGCUAAUACCGGAUAAGCCCUUCGGGGGAAAGAUUUAUCGCCAUUGGAGCGGCCCGCGUCUGAUUAGCUAGUUGGUGAGGUAAAGGCUCACCAAGGCUUCGAUCAGUAGCUGGUCUGAGAGGAUGAUCAGCCACACUGGGACUGAGACACGGCCCAGACUCCUACGGGAGGCAGCAGUAGGGAAUCUUGCGCAAUGGGCGAAAGCCUGACGCAGCCAUGCCGCGUGAAUGAUGAAGGUCUUAGGAUUGUAAAAUUCUUUCAGCGGGGACGAUAAUGACGGUACCCGCAGAAGAGCCCGGCUAACUUCGCGCCAGCAGCCGC